AUGGACUGGCUCGCUACACUGCGACCACAGCUUCAGAACUGCCUAACCGAAGAUCAAGUGAGCUGGUGUGAAACAGUGAGCCUUCACAGAUUUGAGUCACUGACCUCUUUGAAAACUUUUAUAAAAUUGACCCCCUUCUUAGACCAAGUCAGUGGUGAUGGAAUACAGUAUGCAGAAGCCAGCCCCAGGAUGAAGGAGCCCAAUUUCCUCUCCACAAGAAAGGGAUCAAUGAGCUGAAGAUAGCUGGAGGUGAUAAAGCAAGCCUGGAACUCCAUAUUCUCUCUCUGUGCCCCCUUUCCCUUUGCUCCUCCC
This 312-nucleotide long non-coding RNA is filed under the name Fukomys damarensis (Damara mole-rat). Its description in RNAcentral is "lncRNA (ENSFDAG00000022362.1)". The record is from RNAcentral. Lineage: Eukaryota; Metazoa; Chordata; Mammalia; Rodentia; Bathyergidae.